This is a long non-coding RNA of Lates calcarifer (barramundi perch), 1831 nucleotides long. RefSeq lists it as uncharacterized. The transcript has 10 exons. The record is from RefSeq and is a predicted model, not a curated record. Lineage: Eukaryota; Metazoa; Chordata; Actinopteri; Centropomidae.
UAGGCAGUUAUUCAAACCCACUGACAAAACUGCUGUUUUUACUGUUUUGGUAGGGGGAAGUUUUUUCAAAAUCUCCCCUAUGUGAUGGAAUUGUGCUCCAGGGAAGCUGUCCAUCUGGAUUUCUUCACUGGCAAAUUGUGGCACUCGAGCUAGAUUUGAAUCUCCUAUUAUUAUAAUAGCUUUUCUAGGUGUGAGGUGCCAAUUCCUAAUUUUAUGCUCCGUUCUCUGGUGGACCGUGGGUUCACAGUCGGAGGUCACCGCGGCCCCAGAGUGCAGACGAGGAGGCCGCAGCUGCUCCGGCUGCUUAGACCGUGGUUCUGGAGCUGGAGGGGGAGAGGAGGAGACAGUGAUUUGAGAAGGGGAUUGUGGCUGGGACAGCGUUAGGGGGUCCUCAAAGGUCUGCAGGGGGGCCCCCCUGUGUUUCAUGCCACAGCCCUCCAGAAGAGUGGAUGACGCUGUCGAUACAGGAGGUAUCUGCAAAGGAGAAGCGAUAUUCAUUCUUGCAGUGUGUGGAUGAGCCGGUGUGGGUUCCACCGGUUCCUGUGGUUUGGCAAGCGGGGAACUCAGAGGCCGGCUGUCCCUGUCUGGAUCUAGAGUUGGUGAUUUAAUGUUGUCAGGUGUGUCUUGAGAGGCUGGGGAAGGGAUGGCUGGUGCAUUGGGGAUAGUUUGGCCUGUGCCGCCUGAUCUGGAGUGGGGAGAGGUGGAAAAUCCUGUAGAGAGGGUUCCACACUCUCCGGGCCCACCUGUGGUUGCCCUUGGAGCACCAUGGUUCUCAGGGUGUCUAUGGAGCUGUCGAGUUGCCGGAUUAGGAACUGCUGGUUUAAUGAAGUCUAGAUCCUGAGGGUCAUUUGGAGGAGCCGAGGCAGUUUCCCUAGGGGCUGGCUUGAGUAGAUUUUGUUCCGCAGUCCCACACUUACCCGGGCUAUUUGGUUGAGCCAGCACUUCAAAUCUGUUACUCAGGGGUUAGUAGACAACACUCACCCAUUUGCUGAUCCAGGCCUGAGACCAGAUCCAUUAGGCCUCAAGCCUCAGUCCUCUGGUUAGACCCUGUUUGUUGAGAAAACCUGUCUGAAGUUAGUCUCUCUCAGAGGAUUAAAGGAAAGAAGGUCCCAACGUUUCGCCUGGAAGGCUUCUUCAGGGGAGCAAGAAGAGAGUGAAGGAUCCAGGCCUCUAUAUUCAUAUAGAUCAAGUCCAUGAGGGUGGAUCCUAGAAAUAAAAGGUUCCAUAUUGGCUCAUGGAGAAAAAGCAGAUUGAUAAAUGGUCCGGAGCUGGUUCAGUGAGAGGAGAGUACAAGUUUUGAAAGGAUAUGAAGGUAAGUAAAGGGAGGGGACAAGGAGGGGUGAGGAAAACACAGCCUAUUAGGACAGGGAGUAUUAUUUGUGAAAAUGUUGAAUUUUUAUAUAUCCCUGAUAUUUUUUUUUCAAUCACAUCAAUAGGUUGUGUUAGGGAUCCUCAACUCUGGAGAUCCUGUUGGACCUGGAUUGGGGGCUCUUCCUCCUGAAAACCGGGAGGGGGGGGGUUUAUAGCUUUACUAGUUAGAGUUGGGUCCUCCAACAUAGUAAUAGGAUUAGGUCGAAGUCAGGUUAGGGUUGGGGCAGGGUCGAGGUCAGGUUAGGGUUGGGGCAGGGUCGAAGUCAGGUUAGGGUCGGCAGGGUCGAGGUCAGGUUAGGGUUAGGGCCUCAGUACAAGUUGAAUGGUUAGGUUUUAGGGAUCAGGUCAUGUAUAGGGUCAGAGUAGGAGUCAGGCGGUUAGGUUGAAGGUCAGGGUCUGUGUAAAAGUAUUAAAAUCAAAAUAGGUUCCAGGGUCUGUUCCAAGUGCAGGUUUUUAAAAA